Macaca fascicularis (crab-eating macaque) is the source of this 5719-nucleotide long non-coding RNA. The record is from Ensembl. Lineage: Eukaryota; Metazoa; Chordata; Mammalia; Primates; Cercopithecidae.
UUUUAGUAGAGACGGGGUUUCACCGUGUUAGCCAGGAUGGUCUCGAUCUCCUGACCUUGUGAUCCGCCCGUCUCGGCCUCCCAAAGUGCUGGGAUUACAGGCUUGAGCCACUGCGCCCGGCCUUACACAGGACCAUUUUUAAAAAACGUAACAUCUGCAAAGAGAUCUCUUUGUCCCCUCACCUGCCCCCAUGUCUACCGUUCUGUGGAGAGGGUAGGGUGGUGGGAGCCAGGGACCAGAAUUGCUUAGGCACACACUUGAUCUCAGGUGCAGAGAACACAGGUUCUCUGAAAGGAACCCUAUGGGGGUCAGGAGCAUUUUCCAAGAGUGGUCCAGGUGACCCUCAGUUCACACAAUUCGGUUUGAUACAGCGCUGCCCCAUGAGGAUGAACAUGCGUAUGCCCCGUUUCCAGAAGCAGCACCACCUUUCAUGGAAAACCCAUUACUCUCUCACUUCUUCCACAUAACACACAGUUAUGGACCAGCCGUGGGCCCCCUGCACCCUUGGAUAAAACGAGAGUCAAAACCACACCGAUAAUCACAUGGAUUCCAAUGCAGUCAGGCCCCACUUGUGCCUCAUUCAGGUAAAAAUCCUCACAGAAGGAACCCCUGCGCUCAGCAGUGUUAGCACAGGGACAAGCUGUCCUCAGGCGGAACACCUCUCCACCCUGAGAUCUGCUCCUGAGCUGCGCCAUGGCAAUAAGGGACAGAGCACCCGGGCGGCAGCCAAAUUAUUCAUUUUUUUCAAAUAGAGAAAGGCGCCAUGGAGACAUACAUUUCAUAUCCACUGAGUGAGGAGGCCCUCCAUGGGCACCUCCACCAUGGUGAGUUCCUCUAGGGCAAGGACCCUGUCAUGCCCAUUUCCAGAUCCCUCAGUCUAGCCCAGGGUCUGGCACAAGGAUGACCAGUGCAUGAAGGACGACCUUCAGGACCCUCCCAGGAAAUAAAUUGGAGUUUGAUCUGGUUUUCUACCAGCAGCUCCUUCUCUGUUGUCCACUACAGCCCAAUGAGGAAGCUGGAGGGGAGAGCUCCGAGCACAGCUGGGAGGCUGGCCAGACCUGAGUGUGAAUCUCUGUUUUGAGACUCUCUGUCCAAGUUCUGCUAUUUGUGUGCUGUGUGACCCCGGUGGGUUGUGUGGCCUCUCUGAGCCCCACUAUCAUCAUAAGCAAAAGGGUGGGGGAGUGCCUCUUCUUGGGAGCAUUAUGACGAUGAGAUGUCAUGCCUAGGACUGAGCUGGCCCUUUAGCAAACAGUGGCAAGCCCCAGGAAUGCUGAUGAUGUUGGCCCUUCCUCUGCCUUCAUUCAUACUAAGAAACUCUCCCGGGCAAGUGGCUUUCCAAGAGCUAAGUCAUCACCGGUGUGCUGGGUACCCAAGGCCACAGUCUCAAAAGGCUUUCCAGCAGCUCAGCUUUCUCCCUCCUUCCCCUCCCACUGGCCUUUCCCCUCUGAUUCCCCUAGGCGCUGGUCAUGGGCUAUGGCCACACCCAGAUGGUGGCUGUUCAUGGGACCUGCCAAUGGAGGGAUGGUGAGCAAACACUUCAGUGUCCCCAUUUUACAGAUGGUGAAACUGAAGCUUGGAGAGAGGAAGUAAGUGGCUAGCCUAGGAUCACAUACUCACACCCAUUCACUGCAAGGGAAGGACCGAGAUGGCCCCAUCUCUAGAGCUUCCCACCAUGCCUGCAGUCUAAUAUGGGUCCACAAUAACAUUUAACUUCAAACACGCAUCCAUGCCACAGAGCCCCACGGGGACGGGGCAGCCAGCUGUCAAAGCACAACCCCAGAGUCUCAAACCCAGGAUGUGCCCAGUGUGCUCCCACUGCAGAUAGCAGAGCUGAAGUCCAAGGCGCCCAACGUGGGGCUCCUCAACAUCAGAGCUCUACCUGCAGCCCAGUCUCACUGCAGGUUUCACACUGAGCCUCACGGUCAGGCAGAGAUCCAUCUUUAAGUGGCUUCCACUGGGUGAUGAAUUUCCUCUUCUGGUUUUCAAUAAAAACUCAAGAGGGGCAGUAUGGCCUAGUGGGCAGACCCAGGUAUAUGAGUCAGCUCUGCCACCCACAUGUCAUGGCUUCAUCCCCACUAUCUUCCUUGGUUUCCCCAUUUAUAUAAUGAAGGGGUUGGAGGAGAUGAUCUCUUGGGAUCCCUGGUCUUGGAUUGUUAAAGAUUGACUUGACCUCAGGUCACCCAAGAACCCAUUUCUGGGCCAGUCUGCUGCACACAGAGGGCAAUGCCAGCCUCCUCUGCCACUUUCCAAGUCCCUUUAAAGGAGAAUGGGGCUGCCUUGCUCUGAGGUCUCUGAUGUCCAUGGCCAAUGCUGCUUCUUCACAUCCACUAACUGCUUGAAAGCGCUGCAUCCAGCACUGCAUUAAAAAUUAAUUACACAUGCUAUCUUAUUGCCAGUGCAUAAUGUAAUGAGCACCAGCUGUGCUAAACAGCCAAACUCCUUUUUAAGACAGCUAUAAAAAAAAAAAAAAGGAAAAAAAGAAAGAAAGAAAGAAACUGCACUUCCAAAUGCCUCUCCUGUCAGAGCAGAAAAACAGCAACAUCUUGUAUGGAUUUGAACAGAAUUCUUUGAUUUAGCUCUGCCUUCAGAACGUCUGAAGGGCCAGCUCAGAGAGUGAAAUGGAAUCUGGCGAGGCUGCAGCGAUCUCCACUCAGGGAUUUGCUGGGGCCUCUUUUAUCUAAGGACAGUCAUGCUGGUAGGUGCCCCACCCCCAACAGAGCCACAGUGCAGCCCUUCUGUUGCCCCCAACUCCUCAGCUCCUCUGGCCCUUGCUGAUGCUGUAGGAAAUGUCACUUUCCAGCUAUGUGGGACAGGGGACUUUCUGGCAUCCACCAAGCCCUGCCACCCUUGGCUACCUCCAGCACUCUGAGAAUCAGCUUCCCCCACCCUGGGGGCCUUGCAGCUCUCCAUGGCUUCUCCUGGCACUUCCUCCAGUCACAGAAAGAGGCAUCUGGGUUCUCGAGGCAGGCGGGCAGGGACAGCCUCUGCAGCAGUGUGACCUGAAGAAGCAGGCAGGUGCUAGGGUAGAAUCAAUGGCACUUGCAUGCGGGAAGAGCAACAGCGCUGUAAAUGCUGGUUUGCGGAUGCUGGGACCACCAGCCCUUGGGCGAUGUAGACAUUGCAAGGCAUACAGAUGACUCUCUAAAUUUUUAAUAACUCCCCUGAAAGCCCUUUUCCUACAUCGAGCCAGCCCCCAUCAACCCUGGGACCUGUCUGGUUAGCCCAGAAGGAUCCUAACAACAAACGUUACUUUGCAAAGGGAAUCCCAUGAGCACGUUUUCCAACGUUCCCAUGACGGAGCUCUGCUGUCCACACAUGCUCACUCACACGGUUCUUUUUGUCUUCACCCCCAUACUCACCCCUCCCUCCAGUCUCAGUGGCCAAUCUAACGCCCUCUUGGAGUGCCUCUGGCACCCCCUGCACCAGAAUCAAGGCGGCGCAUCAGCAGGGGCCUGGUGAGGUUACCAUCUCUGUCCGCAUCACCGUUUGGCUUCCCAUGGAUCCUCCGGUGUUAAUCAAACCCAGUCCAGAAUGAAACUACAGCUUGCUUCUUGUUCUGGUAUGAAAUGUGCAAAGCACAGACCAUAUCAUUAACAUAAAACUUCCAGAAAUAAGGCCACUUUCCAGGCAGACUGUAUUAAUUGCAUCAGGCUUCCACAGCUAGGGUGGUCUAAUCCACGGCGCCCCAUUGGACGGCUCUGGUUAUAAAACCAACACAAAAUGAACACUGGGAUAUAAUUGAAGGAGGAGAAAAGGAUAGAUUCUAUGGUUAAACCCUACUAUUUACUUACAGGUAUUCUUUUAUCUUUAUUGUCCCUUUAACCCAUGCCAAGAAACCCCAGACUAGUUAAAUAACACAGCAAGCACAAUUUCAGUAGAAAAGUAAAUUGAAUUUAACUUUACAAGAUUGCCCUGUGAUUUCAGCAUACACUAAUGACUGCAACUGACUCCCUCUAUUAAAUCCAAACACUUCCACUUCCCUGAGCUGGGAUCCUGUGUGUUCUUGCGUGAGACCUUGAACUUCACCAAGUACACGUAUUAAUCACUGUGGCUGAUGACCAUUUGCAGCUUUUAAAUAUGCAAUGAAGUGUCUCAGUUCCUAUUCCACCUCCCAAAGCUGGUACAUGAUCUGAGCCAGCCAAGAGGCUAAAUACUUUUAAGAAUGGAAAGCGAGGAUCCAGCUUGCCACGAGACCUGACGGAGUCCCAGUGUUGUGAAACCCAUUAGGCUCGUGCAUGGACUCUAACUUCGACAGGGCUCACUCGGCACAUGGCGCUGUUCUCAGCACCUGGCCCAUAUGAUCUCACACAAUCCCCAGAACGACCCUUCAGAGCCUGUCCUAUCCGUAGCUCCAUUUUGUAGAUGGGGAAACUGAGGAAUGGAGAGGGGAAAUGACUACGCGGGGCAGAACAGCCUUCACCCCCAAGCAAUCUCAUACACUUGACGACCGCCUUCCAAUCGUGGAAGCCUCAGAACAGGGAAGGGUUCCAGCAUGCGGGGCACAAAGCCCAAGAGUGUCCAAACCAUUCUCUGAAUGCCCCACGCCCUGCCCUGGGAACCUAGCUAGCCCCAUGCUCACUCCACCCACAGCAGCUCCACACUGACCUGUCUCAGAAAAUAACACGAGCCUCGUUUUCAAAUGUUGCAUACAUACGCAUAUACACACAAAGAUGUAUUUUUACAGAAGGGGAAACUGAGGCAAUGACUUCUUUAGGGCCUCUGGCCAGCUGAAGCAAAGACCAGGACCACAGUCUGAGGCUCUUGACCCCACAGCCACUGUGCCAAAUCCUCUAUGUGAAAUUUCUCAGGGAAGAAAUCUCAGUUCCCAGGAAUGCCUAGACUCAAAGCCCCACAUUCCUUCAGCAGAGUCAAAAAGAGUCAGGAUCCCUGAGUCCCUUCUCCGCACUGCGACCGUUGGAAGGAGGUCUAGGCUUGGGGUCUCGGGAGGCAGGACCACCUGGGAUGCUGCCAGCCCAGGGUGUGCACAAACACACAUACCUGUGUGGUUUUCUCCCCCCGGUAAAAUCACAUCCUUCUAUAAAUAACUGCGGAUGCAGUAACAGGCACGCAAUUAACCUGUGUGAAACACGUUUACACUGGGGUUCUCCGUAUUAAUUUGAAGAGAUGGGUUCAGCGCAUCCUGAUCUGAAAAGGGACAAAACCAAGUAAGGACGGCAGGCCCAUUCCAUCUUUACAAAGGCCUGCUUCUUCCUAACAGGCUACUGGGAACUUAAUGACUCCAUUCCAACUACUAAUUAAACAGGCACUAAAAACACUUAAGCAAACAGCCCAGUGCCAGGGACACAAACCACAAAGGGACAAAAAAACACCAGAAUAGGAUAGUUUCAGGUAUUGAAAUUGAUCGGGAAACAUGGUGGUGCAAGUUGGUGCGGGCCAAUGAACUGGGACCGAAUGAAAACAGAAAACUGUACUGGACAUGGUGGUAGAGGGCAGGAGGUAAGAACAGGCCCCUUAGAAGGGUCUCCUGGAGCAGUCCUAGGGGCUCAGCCUCCUGCAGUCCCAACCCCAGGAACAGGACACUGCCCUUCCUCACGCCCCUCCCAGAGCACUGCAAUCAAGCAUUGGUUGCUCACAGGCUCUGAGUCCUGGCAGCUCUCAAGGCGUAAAAUCUAAAAAGGCCUUUAAUGCCAGAUGAAGAGCCAAAGCCAAAGAUGUGGCAGGUGCUGGAUGGACAGCCUGGGAUCAAAUCCCACCUCCG